GUCUGCUGGCUGUAUGAUGAAAUGAAUGUUGGUAGGGACAUCUGAGUCGAUGUGAAGAAACGCCAACUAUUCUGACUCCAUGU
Molecule: small nucleolar RNA, 83 nt
Organism: Salarias fasciatus (jewelled blenny)
Lineage: Eukaryota; Metazoa; Chordata; Actinopteri; Blenniiformes; Blenniidae
Source: Ensembl